This 4859-nucleotide long non-coding RNA is filed under the name Homo sapiens (human). RNAcentral describes it as "HSALNT0184924". Lineage: Eukaryota; Metazoa; Chordata; Mammalia; Primates; Hominidae. The record is from RNAcentral.
AUCUCCUGACCUCGUGAUCUGCCCGCCUCCGCCUCCCAAAGUGCUGGGAUUACAGCCGUGAGCCACCGCGCCAGGCCUAAUUUUUGUAUUUUUAGUAGAGACAGGGUUUCACCCUGUUGGCCAGGAUGAUCUCGAUCUCUUGACCUCGUGAUCUGCCCACCUUGGCUUCCCAAAGUGUUUGGAUUACAGGCAUGAGCCACCGCGCCUGGCUUUCUUUUCUUUAGUGGUCGCUCUAGGACAGGCAUUGGUGACAUCUCGCCUCACUGCAACCUCUGCCACCUGGGUUCAGGCAAUUCUCCUGCCUUGGCCUCCUGAAAAGCUGGGAUUACAGGCGCCUGCCACCUCGCCUGGCUAAUUUUUGUAGUUUUGGUGGAGGCGGACUUUCACCAUUUUGGCCAAUCUGUUCUUGAACUCCUGACCUCGUGAUCCACCCGCCUCGGCCUCCCAAAGUGCUGGGAUUAUAGGCAAGAGUCACUACACUGGGCCGGCAAACUUUUUCUGUAAAGGGCCAGAUACAAUAAAUAUGAUGAGCUUUGUCAGCCAUACAAUGUGUGUUGCAACACCCAAAUCUGAUGCUGUAGUGCAAAAGCAACCAUACAUGAUAUGCAAUGAAUGAGGUGUAACUACAGUCCAACAAAACUGUAUUUACAAAAACAGGCAGUGGGCUGGAUUUGGCCUGUGGAAUAUGGUUUACUAACCCUUACUAUGGGGAUUACAAAAUACAUACUUUUCACAAUCAGAGUUUUUUUCUACCACUUCAAGUUAAAUGUAGAAAUUUUACCACAACAUAGCUCCCUUUACUGUCUCAUCUCGUAGUUCUCAUAUGUGUUACUAUAAAUGACAAACACCACAUACUACAAAUACUGAAACUCCACAUACUAAACGCUAAAAAUGCUUAGUUCUAGGUGAAUUUAUAAUUGUUUUAAAAUUAUAUUUAGAGAAUUCCCUCUUGAGACAAACAUCAAAUUUAUGAUUUUCUUUCAGCUGUCAUAAACAUUUUAAAGAACUUAAGAGGAGAAAAAUAAUCUAUUAUAUUUACCAUUGCUGCUGCUCUUCAUCCUUAAUGUUCCGUGUUUCCUUUGGUGUCAUUUCUCUUCUGCCUAAAGAACUUCCUUUAGGAUUUUACAGCGGGUUUUCCGGUGACAAAUUCUUAUUUUCCUUCACCUGAGAAUAUCUUUAUUUCACAUUCAUUCCUGAGCAAUAUUUUCACUGGAUAUAGGAUUUUGAGUUAAUUCCCUUAAGCCCCUUAAAAGUAUCAUUCUAGUUCCACCUGACUUUCAUAGUUUCUGACGAAAAAUGUGCAGUCAUUUGAGUCAUUUUUAUCCUGUGUGAAAAGCACUGUUUUUCUGAAUGCUUGUGGGACUUUUUUCUUUGUCUUUAACCUUCGGCAAUUUUAUUCUGAUGUGUCCAGAUAUGGAUUUUUUUUUUUUUUUUUGAGACAGAGUCUAGCUCUAUCACUCAGGCUGGAGUGCAGUUGGCUUGAUCUCGGUUCACUGCAACUUCCACCUCCCAGGUUCAAGUGAUUCUCCUGCCUCAGUCUUCCAAGUAGCUCGGACUACAGGCAUGUGCCACCACGCUGGCUAUGGACAUGGAUUUGAGUAUAUCUUGUUUGCUAUCCACCAAACUUUUUGAAUCUGUCUUUGUCUUUUGCCAGGUUUGGGAAGUUUUUGUUUUUGUUUUUGUUUUUGAGACAGAGUCUCGCUGUUGUCACCCAGGCUGGGGGAGUGCAAUGGCACAAUCUCAGCUCACUGUAACCUCCACCUCCCAGGUUGAAGCGAUUCUCCUGCCUCAGCCUCCCAAGUAGCUGAGAUUACAGGUGCCUGCCACCACGCCUGGCUAAUUUUUGUAUUUUUAGUAAAGGUGGGGUUUCACCAUGUUGGCCAGGCUAGUCUCGAACUCCUGACCUCAGGUGAAUGGUCCAGCUCAGCUUCCCAAAGUGCUGGAAUUACAGGCGUGAGCCACCACAUCCGGCCUAGUUAUUGCUAUUUUCUGUUUGGUUCUUUAUAUCUUCCAUUUCUUUGCUAAGACUUUCUUUACAUUUGUUUCAAAAGCAUUCUCCCUUUCUUCUUCCUGCAUGGUUAGACUGCUUGCAGCAUUUGCUUUAAAUUCCAACACUUCUGCCUCCUUGGGGUUGGCUGUCUUUUCCCUGGAGAGUUAUUUGUAUGCUGAGUCACCUUAAAUCAUACUCUGGAUAUUUUGAAUAUUAUGGUUUGAGGCUCUGGGUCUUGUUAAAAUCUUAAGGAGCAUGUUGAACAUGUUGAAUGGUAAUUUGUUUUAGCAGGUAAUCAGGUUCAGGCAGCAAGUUUUGACCUGCCUUUUUGGCACUGUGGUUUCAAUGUCGGUUUUAUUUUAAAAGUGUUUGCAGUGCUAUUUGGAUCAGGCCGGCUCGGGUGCCACCCAGUGGCCAGUCAGACCUGGACAGUGAUCCAUUCUGUAAUUCAGUUCACAAAGCCUUAGGUAGGCUGUUCAGGGACAGAUCUACGCUUGCACAGCUCAGAGCUUAGCCCAGGAGUUCAUAAACUUUUACGGGAUUGUUCUCUUGAUUUUCCUCCCGUGUCUCUCUGACAUUUUUUGGGCCCCUGGGGCUUCCCUCUCCAUUCCCAUAUGAUCGUGCCACUGUACUCCAGCCUGGGUGACAGAGCAAGACAUGGUCUCAAAAGCAAAAUAAAACAAAAAACAAGAUGUAUUUGCCAAUUGACUGAUAAAUGAACAGUAAGUAUAGGAUUGUCUAUCUUGCCCCAUUCCCCAAAUUAUGCAUUUCCUAUUGAGGGACAGGCAGCGGGUCACAGAAUGAAGCCUUUCUGCCUGCAGGCCUUUAUCCCACUAUUCUUCCCAUCCAAGAUGCUCGCCCUCUCUUUCAUCAGGCUAAUUCCUACUUGGGCUUCUAGUUUCAGUUUAAAGGUCAUGUCCUUGGAGGCUUUUCUGACCCCAAGCAAGAUGUAGAUCCCAGUUAAAUGCUUUCGUGUCACCCAAUACUUCUUAAAGUACUUAUCACACUUGUAAUAUAUAACCAUGUACUUAAGAACCUCAAAGGACAAGUUUCUCUUGCUCUCUUGCCCUGUACUCAAAAGUUUCACUUUUCCCUUCUCUCUCAGACGGUGACCUUGGGCCCCCUUACAUGUCUUCCAAGGCCCUGCAGUAGCCUUUUCAGAGCCCUUGCAGAGCUGAGUCAAUGAGGGUGAUGAGGGCACAUUUCCAGUUCACACCCCGGAGGUUCUAAUUCAAUAGAAAAGGGUGGAAGUGGGGUCCAGGAAUGCACAUUUUCAGAAGCUCCCCUGAUGAUUUUGAUGCUGGUGGCCCAGAAAAACUGCCUGUGAUAGGCAGCUUCUAACAUGGUUUCCAAUGAUUCCUGCUUGCUGACAGCCACACCCUGUGUAACCUUCACCCCUUGAGUAUAGACUGGACCUGGUAACUGGUAAAAGUGAGGUAAUGUCACUUCCAUGAUUAAGUAACAAAAGACUGUGACUUCAUCUUGCUGGUGUUGUCUUUCUGGCUCUUGCUGUGAUGGAGAAGGCUACCUCGGUGGCCUCUGGCCAACAGUCAAUCAGGAAACGAGGUCCCCGGUCCAACCAUCUGUGAAGUAGUGAAUCCUGCUGACAACCACCGAGCGAGCUGGGAAGCAAAUCCUCCCCAGUUGAACCCUGAGAGGACUAUGGCCCUAGCUAACACCUUGACUCCAGUCUUGUGAGAAACCUAAGCAGAAAACUAAGCUCAGCCGUGCCGAUUCCUUACCCACAGAAACAGAUCAUAUUUAUAUGUUGUUUUAAGGCAUGGUUUUAGGGUAAUCUAUUACGUAGUAAUAGAUAACUGUUGUGACCAGCCCUAAAAUCAUCCAAGAUCACUAUCCAGUAAGGAUCAGCACGUGAGUGUGCAAGUGGAUGACACGAUUCUUGGUUAGGAAGAUUCUCCUGGUGCCCUGGGCCUGGUUACACAUGGAAUCCCUAAAUCCUGAACCCAAUUUCGCAGUCAAAAACUGAUCCUCACCAGCACCCAAAUAAUCUACUGUCCUUUCCCCAUGCCUUCACAGCCAAGACCCUUCUUUCUGUGAAUCAAAGGCAAAUGGCAUUUGUCUUUGUCCCAUAACCUUGGGAUGUGAAUGGUUUCCCCUCCCUCUUUGGGUGAAGUCAGGCAGUCCCAGCCUAGGCCACAUUGGACUUGAGAGCCAUUCUUAAAGGCUAGAAUAAGGGAGGCCUGGGAAGUUAUGGCACCAUUAGCCGGGACCAGCUUACACGUAAAGGUGAUACUAAGUUUCAAAGGAAAAUUGGAGCACGGGCAGGGGUGGCAGGACAGGCUCAAAGCACCAGGAGUUAGCAGCUUUUACACACUGGCGGGCGUGGGAAGAAGGGGUUUAUUUCAGAGGCAGAGACUGAGAAUCAAGUCUUGCUUGUCUAGGGAAAAGCUGAGAAGCUAAGAGUUUCAACUCCUGAAAUGGGGCUCCCUAGACUGGUUUCGUUAAGUGACUGCCCCGCUCAAGACAACAAGCUUACCUAGCCAAUUUGUAAUCAAAAACCUAGGAUCUGGCCGGACGUCGUGGCUCACGCCUGUAAUCUCAGCACUUUGGGAGGCUCAGGCAAGCGGAUCACCUGAGAUCGGGAGUUCGAGACCAGCCUGACCAACACGGAGAAACCCUGUCUCUACUAAAAAUACAAAAAUUAGCUGGGCAUGGUGGCACAUGCCUGUAAUCCCCGCUACUCGGGAGGCUGAGGCAGGAGAAUCACUUCAACCCAGGAGACGGAGGUUACAGUGAACCGAGAUUGUGCCAUUGCACUCCAGCCUGGGCAACAAGUGCGAAACUUCGUCUCAAAAACAAAAAACAAAAAACAAAAAACAAAAAACAAUGCAACAAUGCAGGAUCCCAC